This 253-nucleotide ribosomal RNA is filed under the name uncultured bacterium. Its description in RNAcentral is "partial 16S ribosomal RNA". It matches the Rfam family "Bacterial small subunit ribosomal RNA", at positions 524 to 776 of the family's 1533-position model. The record is from RNAcentral.
UACGUAGGGUGCAAGCGUUAAUCGGAAUUACUGGGCGUAAAGCGUGCGCAGGCGGUUCUGCAAGACAGAUGUGAAAUCCCAGGGCUCAACCUUGGAACUGCAUUUGUGACUGCAGUGCUGGAGUACGGUAGAGGGGGAUGGAAUUCCGCGUGUAGCAGUGAAAUGCGUAGAGAUGCGGAGGAACACCGAUGGCGAAGGCAGUCCCCUGGACCUGUACUGACGCUCAUGCACGAAAGCGUGGGGAGCAAACAGG